CUUUUUGUGCAUAAUGUAUAUAUAGGGGGGUGGUAGUACUCUUGGGGUAGAGAGGCAUGUGCUGGGAUGGCAUGCCAAGGCAUGUGCUGGGAUGGCAUGCCUUGGUGUGUGCUGGGAUGGCAUGCCAAGGACAAGCAUGUGCGAGGAAGGCAUGCCAAGGCCAAGGCAAGCACAUGCAUUGUGAGCGAGAUGAGACGGUUGUCUUUACCCCAAGAGUGCCCAAGGGAGAGGAAAGAGGUGUCAAACGCAUGCUGAGCCCCACUUCGGUAGUUUGGCACCCCCAUAGGCAUUCAGGCAAGCGUGCCUAUGGGUAAAGUCGGUAGAGCUUGUCAGCCAUGUUGGGUACUAUUGUUUGGACGAGAUGAUGGCACACGUCAAGCUUGCUUUAAUGUAACGUUCUGGCAGCACAGCCAGCCCGCAAUUGCUAGUUCAAGCGGGUGGAAUCUGCCUAUAGGGGCGUUGCUUGCUUGCUUGCUGUGGAAUUGGGCACGCCCAAUAUGUAUCAUYGACCCACGUAGUUCCUGCAUGGCCCCAUAGGUAUUCAGGCAAGCGUGCCUAUGGGUAAAGUCGGUAGAGCUUGUCAGCCAUGUUGGGUACUAUUGUUUGGACGAGAUGAUGGCACACGUCAAGCUUGCUUUAAGGUAACGUUCUGGCAGCACAGCCAGCCCGCAAUUGCUAGUUCAAGCGGGUGGAAUCUGCCUAUAGGGGCGUUGCUUGCUUGCUUGCUGUGGAAUUGGGCACGCCCAAUAUGUAUCAUCGACCCACGUAGUUCCUGCAUGGCCCCAUAGGUAUUCAGGCAAGCGUGCCUAUGGGUAAAGUCGCUUGAGCUUGCCAACACCCAUGUUAGCUGUAGUCUGGACCGAUGAUGGCACAAGGAUGCUUGCUUUAAGGUAACAUUCUGGCAGCACAGCCAGCCCGCAAUUGCUAGUUCAAGCGGGUGGAAUCUGCCUAUAGGGGUGUUGCUUGCUUGCUGUGGAUUUGGGACACGCCCAAUAUCUAUCAUCGACCCAACGAACUGCUCAACAUGGGUUGCUGAGGGCUAUUUUGGCACUGGCGGUUCACUUGUUUGCUUGGCUCUGAUAAACGUUUAGAUGUCAUGAUGCUUSGGAUCCAAUAAAUUUAUGUGGGAAGCUGAGAGCUGGAACCCAAUGUCAUUCACCAGACSGCUUAGCUUCGUCAGUGUGUAUAAUAUGUCAUUGAACCCCAAUCCUCGAUGCCAACCUGAUUAUGACUUUUGGAUUGCAAUUAUCAUGGCUAUCAAAAACUGAGUAGGAGUCAUGGAAUAAGUGAACAAUUUGUAGCUUUUAUAGCUGUCAGCUUUCGCAUCCCCCGGUGUGUUUUGGGAAUCGCUUUGUGCGUUUGGUUGCCUGCCGUGCCUCUUGGCAUACGGUGGGUGCCACUUGCCGGGUGGUUUUCGGAAACAUCCACCGUAAAGGUGCAUGAGUGGUGUUUGGUUUGUUACGGGUGGUUGGCUCUUUGCUUGCGCAACAACUUCCACCCGACUUACCUCUUCAGAUGUUUGCCUAGGCUUGUAUAGCCUAAGCAGAUUGUGGGUUUCCUGUGUUGCCUACCUACGUCACGGAAUUGUCCCGAUUGAUCAAAGUUGCUUUCGUCUUGUGCCGUCUUGAUGGCAUAAGAUGAACCAUGAAGCUGUCUCUUUGCACCGCAUUGUUAAUGGAUGCGUUGAUGUUGUGGCCCAUUGAGCAUUGCUUGGUACCUUGGAUACGGAACCUUAUGUGGGCAUGGGUCCUUGGGGAUCCUUGUUCUGCCCUCGUKUAGCGUUCGCGCUUCUCUUAGAAUGASWGCCUAGCCGGAAUGGCAACCCAUUGCGGAUGGGCAUUGUCAAAGAGGAAUGC
This 1856-nucleotide unclassified non-coding RNA is filed under the name Helianthus strumosus. Its description in RNAcentral is "partial external transcribed spacer". Lineage: Eukaryota; Viridiplantae; Streptophyta; Magnoliopsida; Asterales; Asteraceae. The record is from RNAcentral.